UAGGGAAUCUUCCACAAUGGACGAAAGUCUGAUGGAGCAAUGCCGCGUGAGUGAAGAAGGUUUUCGGAUCGUAAAACUCUGUUGUUGGAGAAGAACGUAUUUGAUAGUAACUGAUCAGGUAGUGACGGUAUCCAACCAGAAAGCCACGGCUAACUACGUGCCAG
Molecule: ribosomal RNA, 164 nt
Filed under: uncultured bacterium
Lineage: Bacteria
Description: partial 16S rRNA
Rfam family: Bacterial small subunit ribosomal RNA
Source: RNAcentral